This 371-nucleotide long non-coding RNA is filed under the name Sorghum bicolor (sorghum). RNAcentral's name for it is "long non-coding RNA (SBIC_LNC004508)". Lineage: Eukaryota; Viridiplantae; Streptophyta; Magnoliopsida; Poales; Poaceae. The record is from RNAcentral.
GUUAUCCAGAGUUAUCGUAUUUAUAUUUUUACCAUUGGGAGAAAGGGUGCAUCUGACUAACCAAAUCUAUUGCUACUACCCCUUUAGGCUACAAAGAAUGUCUCUCGAUGUGAGUGAUGUAUAGAGAACUCUGCAACCGUAGUCUCGUUCUAACCUUGGUAAGGAUAAUCUACUGUUCUAUUGGGGAGGCUCACGGAAUCUAGACAACACAAAGGAUGUUCGACCCGCACCUAUAAACCUACCCGUCCUGCUAACGAGAUGUGAUCUGCAAAGGUAACUCAGAAAUGUAACGUUCCUCGCUACUACCACGGUCCAGCUAGUCAAGGGAUAUCUAUGAGUACCCUAGCCUAAACACCACGUUUACGCUAACA